CUCUUGAGUGGAUCCUGAGUACGACGGAGCACGUGAAAUUCCGUCGGAAUCUAGGAGGACCAUCUCCUAAGGCUAAAUACUCUCUAGUGACCGAUAGUGAACCAGUACCGUGAGGGAAAGGUGAAAAGUACCCCGGAAGGGGAGUGAAAGAGAACUUGAAACCGUGUGCUUACAAGUAGUCAGAGCCCGUUUAUGGGUGAUGGCGUGCCUUUUGUAGAAUGAACCGGCGAGUUACGAUCUGAUGCAAGGUUAAGCAG
This 257-nucleotide ribosomal RNA is filed under the name Staphylococcus sp. SKL70935. RNAcentral's name for it is "partial 23S ribosomal RNA". It matches the Rfam family "Bacterial large subunit ribosomal RNA", at positions 394 to 653 of the family's 2925-position model. Lineage: Bacteria; Bacillati; Bacillota; Bacilli; Caryophanales; Staphylococcaceae. The record is from RNAcentral.